UACAGAGGGGGCAAGCGUUUAUUCGGAAUUAUUGGGCGUAAAGGGCGCGUAGGCGGCCUGACAAGUGGAAGGUGAAAUCCCUCGGCUUAACCGAGGAACUGCCCUCCAAACUGUUUGGCUUGAGACCGGGAGAGGUGAGUGGAAUUCCCAGUGUAGCGGUGAAAUGCGUAGAUAUUGGGAGGAACACCAGUGGCGAAGGCGGCUCACUGGACGGUACUGACGCUGAGGUGCGAAAGCGUGGGGAGCAAACAGGG
This 254-nucleotide ribosomal RNA is filed under the name uncultured bacterium. RNAcentral describes it as "partial 16S ribosomal RNA". It matches the Rfam family "Bacterial small subunit ribosomal RNA", at positions 524 to 777 of the family's 1533-position model. The record is from RNAcentral.